RNAcentral lists this ribosomal RNA (1100 nucleotides) under Serratia marcescens. RNAcentral's name for it is "bacterial SSU rRNA". It matches the Rfam family "Bacterial small subunit ribosomal RNA", at positions 78 to 1176 of the family's 1533-position model. The record is from RNAcentral. Lineage: Bacteria; Pseudomonadati; Pseudomonadota; Gammaproteobacteria; Enterobacterales; Yersiniaceae.
GCUCCCUGGGUGACGAGCGGCGGACGGGUGAGUAAUGUCUGGGAAACUGCCUGAUGGAGGGGGAUAACUACUGGAAACGGUAGCUAAUACCGCAUAACGUCGCAAGACCAAAGAGGGGGACCUUCGGGCCUCUUGCCAUCAGAUGUGCCCAGAUGGGAUUAGCUAGUAGGUGGGGUAAUGGCUCACCUAGGCGACGAUCCCUAGCUGGUCUGAGAGGAUGACCAGCCACACUGGAACUGAGACACGGUCCAGACUCCUACGGGAGGCAGCAGUGGGGAAUAUUGCACAAUGGGCGCAAGCCUGAUGCAGCCAUGCCGCGUGUGUGAAGAAGGCCUUCGGGUUGUAAAGCACUUUCAGCGAGGAGGAAGGUGGUGAACUUAAUACGUUCAUCAAUUGACGUUACUCGCAGAAGAAGCACCGGCUAACUCCGUGCCAGCAGCCGCGGUAAUACGGAGGGUGCAAGCGUUAAUCGGAAUUACUGGGCGUAAAGCGCACGCAGGCGGUUUGUUAAGUCAGAUGUGAAAUCCCCGGGCUCAACCUGGGAACUGCAUUUGAAACUGGCAAGCUAGAGUCUCGUAGAGGGGGGUAGAAUUCCAGGUGUAGCGGUGAAAUGCGUAGAGAUCUGGAGGAAUACCGGUGGCGAAGGCGGCCCCCUGGACGAAGACUGACGCUCAGGUGCGAAAGCGUGGGGAGCAAACAGGAUUAGAUACCCUGGUAGUCCACGCUGUAAACGAUGUCGAUUUGGAGGUUGUGCCCUUGAGGCGUGGCUUCCGGAGCUAACGCGUUAAAUCGACCGCCUGGGGAGUACGGCCGCAAGGUUAAAACUCAAAUGAAUUGACGGGGGCCCGCACAAGCGGUGGAGCAUGUGGUUUAAUUCGAUGCAACGCGAAGAACCUUACCUACUCUUGACAUCCAGAGAACUUUCCAGAGAUGGAUUGGUGCCUUCGGGAACUCUGAAACAGGUGCUGCAUGGCUGUCGUCAGCUCGUGUUGUGAAAUGUUGGGUUAAGUCCCGCAACGAGCGCAACCCUUAUCCUUUGUUGCCGGCGGUUCGGCCGGGAACUCAAAGGAAACUGCCAGUGAUAACUGGGAGGAAGGUGG